RNAcentral lists this ribosomal RNA (315 nucleotides) under uncultured eukaryote. Its description in RNAcentral is "partial 18S ribosomal RNA". It matches the Rfam family "Eukaryotic small subunit ribosomal RNA", at positions 1470 to 1796 of the family's 1831-position model. The record is from RNAcentral.
CCCUUAGACGUUCUGGGCCGCACGCGCGCUACACUGACCAGUGCAACAAGCAUCCGUCCUUGGCCGACAGGCUCGGGCAAUCUUUGAACGCUGGUCGUGGUGGGGAUAGACUUUUGCAAUUUUUGGUCUUCAACGAGGAAUUCCUAGUAAACGCAAGUCAUCAACUUGCAUUGAUUACGUCCCUGCCCUUUGUACACACCGCCCGUCGCACCUACCGAUUGAAUGGUCCGGUGAAGCCUCCGGAUUGGCGCGCACCUCGGUGCCGCCGAGAAGUUGGCUAAACCUUACCAUUUAGAGGAAGGUGAANUCGUAACA